This is a long non-coding RNA of Felis catus (domestic cat), 3183 nucleotides long. RefSeq lists it as uncharacterized. Lineage: Eukaryota; Metazoa; Chordata; Mammalia; Carnivora; Felidae. The transcript is spliced from 4 exons. The record is from RefSeq and is a predicted model, not a curated record.
GGAAUGGCAAGUAAAAAAAAAAAGCAUUUUUAAAAAUGUGUGUUGUAAAUCGGUUGAUAUUUUUUAUAAUGAGUGUGAUUUAUUUAUAUAUCCAGAAAAUAUGAACUAUUUUUAUUUAAAAAAAAACACGACAGUCUUUUGAGUAAGAACAGUUUCCAUCUGUUCAAAGGGGGGCUCGAAACCUCUCUUCUCUGGGAUUUGAUCUUCCUCAGUAUGGGGGAGAAUUAAGAAAAGCAACUCCUGGGCAACCAGUAGAGUUUCUUUUCACAAGGCCUGGAGGGCUGAUUCCGUCAAAGCCCCCUUGGAGAAAUCUUAGUGAUUCUGCGUCUCUCCUCCUGGGAGCUGGUUUGUUCUCCCUCUCCUGAAACUAGGGGAUUCUCACAUUUAUUACUACUGUGGCUUUUCGUCCCCUCUUACCCAUUUCACCCAGGCGUAUUUCUUGUUUUAUCUGGCACCCAGUAGAGCUCUGCCGAGCUGAGGGCCUGUCUUUCGCACCAAUCCUCAUCCAAUUAAUUGAUAAAAAAUUAAUAAUUUAAUUUUAGUGAUGGGAAUUACACGCCAUUCUCCAAGCUCUCUCUUCACCAGGCAUCCCAGAGUCACCUCAUACAGACAAGCACCUGAAGCAAGAGGAAGGAACAUUUAAAAAAAAUAUUUUAAGUGGAUUUGGCCACUUGAGCAUCUUUGAUUGGAGAGCAGGUGAAAGAACAGGAGGCACAGAGCAAAAACGGUCCCCCUAGAAAUCAGGAGGUUUAAAGGAAAUUGGUAGAGAAAAAAUCACAUUUGUUCCCUCUGUGCUUGUGGAUAUUUUUGGGACUUUUGCCAACCUACUUACUUAUUUUAACCCUGAACUGCAUAUAUGUGACACAACUCCAUUGAUUUUUGGAUUCAUUUAAAAGUAGGAGCUCUGAAUUCAGUCUUCACUAGCUAUGGGACCUUUGGCUUCAAUGUUUUCAUCUGCAAAACAGAGCUAAUAAGACAACCUUCCUUGUAGGGUUGUUGUGACGAUCAGUGAGAUUAUGCGCUUAUAGCAUUUAGCUUCACAUUUGACACUUCACAAGGGCUCAAAAAGUUCUAGGAAUUAUGAUGACUAUUCUUUCUGCAAGUCAGUAUUAGUGAUUAUUUACACAGAGGCUGAGCUAAAAUUUAUCAUGUUAUUAGAAGAGGAUGUUUCUACUUACACUAAUGUUAGUCUAGGAAGGAAGAUUACUUGGAAAAAAAUUUUCUCUUUAAGGCAAUGAUGUAAUAUGAUUGCAAUGGUUAAACAACACAGAAUAGUUUUCAACUCCCCUCAUGUGUCUUAUAAACCCUGCUUUCAAGCAACCGACAUAGAAAUCAUACAUUUUUGUCAAGUAGUUAUCCAAGUGCACCCUCUGCUAAAUAUACUGUCAAUACUAAUUUGAAUUACUACAAGUUUUAAAAUAUUACUUCAUUAAAUAGGUUCUCUAAAUCAGAUAUCUACUUAAAUCAAAGGGGCCUUUACCUGUUUUGAAAAAAUUGGUGGGGUUUCAGUGUACAAUAGAAUUGGCAGUUUAGACUGUAUUAAACUGAUAUGAGGAUUUGAAUUAAACUCUUUUGGGUUUUAUUCAUAUAAAUUCCAUGGUAUAAAGAGCCUUGAUGUUAUUUGUAGGUAUCUUCUACCUCCUCUAUUCUACAGUAAGCCCAUAGGGAUCAGUAAUUUCUCACUUACUUUUUUAUCACACACAAUACGCACACCAUUUGUAGCCUGGUGUAUAGUGUAGAGUAGGUGCUCAAGAAAUGUUGAAUGAAUGCUGGCCAGAAGUUUGUGUCAACAGGUGUUUGCAGGGCUGGUUAAGGCGAAUAUGGUCUUAAACAUGAGCAUUUCACGUGUGCCUGCUUUCAUCUCCUACAAAGAUGAAAAAAACCCUUGUGCUCCCUCUGUGGUUUGAAUUUCUUUUGUGUCUUUUCUGAGUAUGUCUAGAAUGGUGGAGAUUUAGUAAAUAUGUAUUGAAUUGGACCAAAGUAAGUAGAAGGAGGCAAAAGUAAAAUAGGCUGCUAUUGGUCUUAAACCAAGAAAGCAAUGGCUCUGAUUUAAGACCUCCCGUAGAAUUUUUGUGAGCCUUCCCAGCCUUCCAGUGCAUGGAAACAGAAGUUGGUUGCCCAUGGAAAGCUGGUCAUAUCAAGAGAGAAUCUUAUCUCCCCCACUUUUUGCACAAAGAAUUGUGACUUAUUUAAGAAGAUCUACGGUUGACACACAGUUUGGAUUUUAUAGCUAACUGUCCUAUUUUCUCAGACUCUGCUUUCAGCUGUGGAAGAACCUUGGUGCAGUUACCCAGCUAAUUAUAUUUACCAAGCUUCUCAAAUGGAGACAGAGGAGAGCUUUGGGGGAAACAUUUGCUGCCCUUCCAAACUGAGAUUUCUCUGCUUGUAAAGCAGAAUGAAGCUACAUGCUCAGCCUCAUAGACCCAAGCUGACACGGACUCUGUCACUGGAGGGACACUGAACUUUCCCUCCCAACUUGAGUGGAUACGUCGGCUUGACUAGGCAUCUCAAAGCUUCAUAGCCAGUUUCCAUGCAGCGGAAACAAACUUAGAAUUCUCCACCAUUCAUCUGGAUCUGUGGAUUAUGUGGACCAUUUGAAAUGAAAUUUUAUACUUGAAAUUUCCUUUCAGCCAAAAAAGACUAUUCAUUGGAUAAAACCCCAGAUCAGUGACCUGGGGUUUAGUCACAACAUCUCCAAUCCUUCUGCCUUCAGGAUGAACUUUCUGCCUGGGUACUUUCCUGAUAGUUAGAAGGAUCGUGAAUGCUGGAAGAUUGACAGCUCUGGGAAGAGCGCCAUCUCUCAAGUGCACACUUUAGGAGUAGCAGUGAGUUGAAAUUGCCCCCCUCUCACUACCUUAUGAAGCCUCUGCUGACAUGACGUGAUGUGCCCAGCACUCAGCACGAGAGGGAGAUGUUUGCGUGACUCCUUCGGCUCUCAUUUUUUCUGCCACUUACUCCAAGUUACUAUGAUUUCAUGGUGCAUCUUUGUGAAUGUGAAUCGAAGCACUUCUAACUUUUGUUAUCUGUGUCACUGAAUACGAUAACUAGGGAGGAAUUGGGUAAUUGGGAAGCAGGUACUAAUUGAAUUCAACCUUGGUUUUCUGACUUAGGAACAGAUUGUCUGCAAAACCCAGAAAGAGCCCCGCUGGCAAAAAUAAAGGUGAAAGUAGAGUUUUUAUUACA